CCGGGGGGUUGCAGUAGCAGGGCGCCUGGUGAGUGGGAGGUUUUAAAAUAUGAAGGCGGGCUGGAACCUCUCGGGGUUACAGCCUUGCUGAAUUAUUCACCCUUGUCUUUUGCGUACUUCUUGUUUCCUUGGUGGGUUCGCCCACCACUAGGACAAACAUAAACCUUUUGUAAUUGCAAUCAGCGUCAGUAACAAAUUAAUAAUUACAACUUUCAACAACGGAUCUCUUGGUUCUGGCAUCGAUGAAGAACGCAGCGAAAUGCGAUAAGUAGUGUGAAUUGCAGAAUUCAGUGAAUCAUCGAAUCUUUGAACGCACAUUGCGCCCUUUGGUAUUCCAAAGGGCAUGCCUGUUCGAGCGUCAUUUGUACCCUCAAGCUUUGCUUGGUGUUGGGCGUCUUGUCUCUAGCUUUGCUGGAGACUCGCCUUAAAGUAAUUGGCAGCCGGCCUACUGGUUUCGGAGCGCAGCACAAGUCGCACUCUCUAUCAGCAAAGGUCUAGCAUCCAUUAAGCCUUUUUUUCAACUUUUGACCUCGGAUCAGGUAGGGAUACCCGCUGA
RNAcentral lists this ribosomal RNA (556 nucleotides) under Alternaria brassicae. Its description in RNAcentral is "eukaryotic LSU rRNA". The stretch from base 208 to 361 matches the Rfam family "5.8S ribosomal RNA". The record is from RNAcentral. Lineage: Eukaryota; Fungi; Ascomycota; Dothideomycetes; Pleosporales; Pleosporaceae.